Long non-coding RNA from Mastomys coucha (southern multimammate mouse), 794 nucleotides. RefSeq lists it as uncharacterized. The record is from RefSeq and is a predicted model, not a curated record. Lineage: Eukaryota; Metazoa; Chordata; Mammalia; Rodentia; Muridae. The transcript is spliced from 4 exons.
UGGUGCCAGCCGGGCCCACAUCGCAGCCUUUUCCAUUUCCAGCCCCAGAGUUGUGACGACCUGACACUGUGGUUCUCAUGGAAUUCUGAAACAAGCCUGGCCUCGUCAUCAUAAUGACCGCUUACUCAGGGCAGCGAUGGGACGGAAGAUGACUUCUUCCUGAAUUCAGCCAAAUCAAAAUCCUACUAACUCAGGGCCUAUCUGAACAUCCAUGAGUGUGGUGUCUAGUGCUAUGGAGUGUCCUGGAGAAGGAUGAUGCUCUCCCUUCUAAGUCCCACAGUCUAGAAGAAAUGACAGAAGACAGGUCCCUCUGGGAUUCACGCGCCUCUGCUGGGAUUUUCACACCGUUCGCCAUGUUAACAUGAAGCAACAGCUGGGUUGAAGAGAGCUGAUAAAAAUAGCAAUGUAACUCUGCAAGCAGGCUGCACGAGGAAGGGGGGAGUCAAGCCUACAGUAUGGGGUGGCAGAGAUUUCUUUGCUUUUCUGACUCCAGAUUUGCUCAUCCUAGAACCCCAAUUUUUCAGAAAGGGCCAAGCAAAUUGAUUUUCCAUCUCUAUAUAUGUUAAGUAGGAGACUGAGAGGACAGCCAGGCUUUUUUCAGUCUUCUUCAGUGCUCUGGUUUGUAGGCAACUGGUCGACCCACUUGUUAGCCAGUAGAUCAGACGCCUGGGUCCUGCAGCCCCUGAAUGAGUGAGCUGAGCCAACUUUAGGGAUUUGACUGUUUAAGGUUGCUGUAUGUCGAUGCAGGAACUUCCCACAGUUUCCCUGUCUUUCCAUUCAUUAAAGUGAAGCUU